GACGAACGCUGGCGGCGUGCUUAACACAUGCAAGUCGAGCGGUAAGGCCCUUUCGGGGGUACACGAGCGGCGAACGGGUGAGUAACACGUGGGUGACCUGCCCUCAGCUCUGGGAUAAGCCCGGGAAACUGGGUCUAAUACCGGAUAUGACUUCAUGACGCAUGUUGUGGAGUGGAAAGCCUUGUGCGGCUGAGGAUGGGCCCGCGGCCUAUCAGCUUGUUGGUGGGGUGANGGCCUACCAAGGCGACGACGGGUAGCCGGCCUGAGAGGGCGACCGGCCACACGUGGG
RNAcentral lists this ribosomal RNA (289 nucleotides) under uncultured bacterium. Its description in RNAcentral is "partial 16S ribosomal RNA". It matches the Rfam family "Bacterial small subunit ribosomal RNA", at positions 28 to 318 of the family's 1533-position model. The record is from RNAcentral.